UAAGAUUUACGUCAUAUCCGGUACGGUGCCAUUUUAGUCGGACAAAGUGUUUGCCACUGUGUGUUUAUAAUUCUUACUAAAUACUCGAACUUGCUAUCAAAUGGAGAGUAAGGAAUGUACAGGGAUGCUCUUUGCUUUCCUUCUGGGGAUACCGUCUGUCAUGGGGGAGGAUUACUGCAUGUUUGGCCACGUGGAUGGAAAAACUAAUGCCGAAUGCAGAUUGAGCAACGGGGCUGCUGUUGGAAUUAUAGUGGCAAUCAUUGCUGUGAUCCUGAUUGCAGUGAUAAUUGUCCUCUGUAGAAUAAAAAAGGUGCACCUGGAACAUGGGCUGUUUUAAUGGCUGCGCUGAGUGUGGAUAAUGACAAACCCUUUCUACUAGCAACAAGAACCAGUUCUACCAGAUUCAGACUAUUACAUCCAGCAGAAAAUGUGUUUUAAAAUACCGUUAUAUUAUGUUUACGUAUUUGGAUGAAAAUGAUACACAGAGAAAAAAUCAAACCUGAUUUAGAUUUGGACAGUACUGUGCCUGGAUUCGUCUUGAAAUAGGAAACCAAGCAACUUUCUUUGUGCUUUAUAGCUAAGAAUUCAUGAUAGUACUUCUCCUGUCUUACAAGCACAUCACAAUCUAUUUGGGCGUUUUGGGGGUUGUUUGUUCUGUUUAUUGGUUUGUUUGUUUUGUUUUUGUUUUGUUUCUUGUGGAUGAUAACAGCAUCUAUCUGUUCCAUCUGUACUUUGUAGCUACACUUUUCCACUAGCAACGAGAACCAAUUCCAGAUUCAGACUAUUACAUCCAGCAGAAAAUGCGUUACCAAAACACCGUUGCAUGAUGUUUACGUAUUUGGACGUAUUGGGAUGAUGCACUUGCCAUGACCCAAGCAACACCAAAUCCAGAUUGUGUUUACGUUUGGACCGUCAUGCAAGCGUGAAUACUGUUCUGCCGCUGAUUUGCACAUCUUGAAUUGUAAAUCUGAGGUAAAAUAUAUGAACAUUUGUGUGUAUGUAUUUUUUAAACAAUUGUCGUGUCGCAAAAUACUUUUGUAUUUUAGGAAGAACCUACAUCACUCACUAUCCUUCAUUUUAAGGAAAACAACUCAUUUUGAAAAAGUUUUGUAGUUGUAGUUUCAUAAUAAACUGUAAAAUCUAAAA
Haliotis rubra (blacklip abalone) is the source of this 1146-nucleotide long non-coding RNA. RefSeq lists it as uncharacterized. Lineage: Eukaryota; Metazoa; Mollusca; Gastropoda; Lepetellida; Haliotidae. The transcript is spliced from 4 exons. The record is from RefSeq and is a predicted model, not a curated record.